RNAcentral lists this small nuclear RNA (107 nucleotides) under Monodon monoceros (narwhal). The record is from RNAcentral. Lineage: Eukaryota; Metazoa; Chordata; Mammalia; Artiodactyla; Monodontidae.
GUUCUCGCUUCAGCAGCACAUAUACUAAAAUUGGAACGAUACAGAGAAGAUUAACAUGGCCCCUGCUCAAGGAUGACAGGCAAACUCAUGAAGCGUUCCAUAUUUUU